UGGGAGGUAAAUUUCUUCUAAAGCUAAAUACCGGCCAGAGACCGAUAGCGCACAAGUAGAGUGAUCGAAAGAUGAAAAGCACUUUGAAAAGAGGGUUAAAUAGCACGUGAAAUUGUUGAAAGGGAAGGAUUUAUGACCAGACUUUUUCUAGGCGAAUCAUCCGGUGUUCUCACCGGUGCACUUCGUUUAGUUUAGGCCAGCAUCGAUUUUCGAGGCGGGAUAAAAGCUUCAGGAAUGUGGCUCCCUCGGGAGUGUUAUAACCUGUUGUAUAAUACCGCCUUGGGGAUCGAGGUACGCGCUUCUGCAAGGAUGCUGGCGUAAUGGUUAUCAAUCACCCGUCUUGAAACACGGACCAAGGAGUCGAACAUUUGUGCGAGUGUUUGGGUGUUAAACCCUCACGCGUAAUGAAAGUGAACGGAGGUGAGAGCCCUUUACGGGGUGCAUCAUCGACCGAUCCUGAUGUCUUCGGAUGGAUUUGAGUAAGAGCAUAAAUGUUCGGACCCGAAAGAUGGUGAACUAUGCGUGGAUAGGGUGAAGCCAGAGGAAACUCUGGUGGAGGCUCGCAGCGGUUCUGACGUGCAAAUCGAUCGUCAAAUCUGCGCAUGGGG
Molecule: ribosomal RNA, 608 nt
Filed under: Seimatosporium physocarpi
Lineage: Eukaryota; Fungi; Ascomycota; Sordariomycetes; Amphisphaeriales; Sporocadaceae
Description: partial 28S ribosomal RNA
Rfam family: Eukaryotic large subunit ribosomal RNA
Source: RNAcentral